GGUUAGUCGAUCCUAAGAGAUAGGGAAACUCCGUUUUAAAGUGCAUGAUUAUCCAUGCCGCCCAUCGAAAGGGAAUCCGGUUAAGAUUCCGGAACCAGGACAUGGAUCUUUGACGGUAACGUAAAUGAAGUUGGUGACGCUGGCUAGGGCCCUGGGAAGAGUUAUCUUUUCUCCUUGACUAUCUAUAACCUUGAAAUCGGAUUAUCCGGAGCUAAGGUUCAAUGGUAGGCAAAGUGCAACACUUUCGUUGCAUCCGGUGCGUCCUAGACAGUCCUUGAAAAACCGACGGAACGUAUUACUCUCAUGCCUGGUCGUACUCAUAACCGCAGCAGGUCUCCUAGGUGAACAGCCUCUAGUUGAUAGAACAAUGUAGAUAAGGGAAGUCGG
RNAcentral lists this ribosomal RNA (387 nucleotides) under uncultured Fragilariaceae. Its description in RNAcentral is "partial Eukaryotic large subunit ribosomal RNA". It matches the Rfam family "Eukaryotic large subunit ribosomal RNA", at positions 1533 to 1917 of the family's 3401-position model. Lineage: Eukaryota; Bacillariophyta; Fragilariophyceae; Fragilariales; Fragilariaceae. The record is from RNAcentral.